RNAcentral lists this ribosomal RNA (256 nucleotides) under uncultured bacterium. RNAcentral describes it as "partial 16S ribosomal RNA". It matches the Rfam family "Bacterial small subunit ribosomal RNA", at positions 524 to 775 of the family's 1533-position model. The record is from RNAcentral.
UACGGAGGGGGCUAGCGUUGUUCGGAAUUACUGGGCGUAAAGCGCACGUAGGCGGCUUUGUAAGUUAGAGGUGAAAGCCCGGGGCUCAACUCCGGAAUUGCCUUUAAGACUGCAUCGCUAGAAUUGUGGAGAGGUAAGUGGAAUUCCGAGUGUAGAGGUGAAAUUCGUAGAUAUUCGGAAGGAAACACCAGUGGCGAAGGCGGCUCACUCGGAGCUGGUAUUGACGCUGAGGUGCGAAAGCGUGGGGAGCAACAGG